GCACUGAUGGGCUAGUAGUUAAGGCUUGGCCUUCUCAAUGCCAUAGCCUGUGUUCAUUUCCCAGUCAGAGUA
This 72-nucleotide transfer RNA is filed under the name Equus caballus (horse). It matches the Rfam family "tRNA". Rfam says of the family: Transfer RNA (tRNA) molecules are approximately 80 nucleotides in length. Lineage: Eukaryota; Metazoa; Chordata; Mammalia; Perissodactyla; Equidae. The record is from Rfam by way of RNAcentral.